This 498-nucleotide ribosomal RNA is filed under the name uncultured bacterium. RNAcentral's name for it is "partial 16S ribosomal RNA". It matches the Rfam family "Bacterial small subunit ribosomal RNA", at positions 29 to 523 of the family's 1533-position model. The record is from RNAcentral.
AUUGAACGCUGGCGGCAUGCUUUACACAUGCAAGUCGAACGGUAACAGGCCGCAAGGUGCUGACGAGUGGCGAACGGGUGAGUAAUGCAUCGGAACGUGCCCAGUCGUGGGGGAUAACGCAGCGAAAGCUGCGCUAAUACCGCAUACGAUCUCUGGAUGAAAGCGGGGGACCGAAAGGCCUCGCGCGAUUGGAGCGGCCGAUGUCAGAUUAGGGAGUUGGUGGGGUAAAGGCCCACCAAGCCAACGAUCUGUAGCUGGUCUGAGAGGACGACCAGCCACACUGGGACUGAGACACGGCCCAGACUCCUACGGGAGGCAGCAGUGGGAAAUUUUGGACAAUGGGCGCAAGCCUGAUCCAGCAAUGCCGCGUGCAGGAAGAAGGCCUUCGGGUUGUAAACUGCUUUUGUACGGAACGAAACGGUCCGGGCUGAUACCCUGGGCUAAUGACGGUACCGUAAGAAUAAGCACCGGCUAACUACGUGCCAGCAGCCGCAGUAA